GAUGAACGCUAGCGGCAGGCCUAACACAUGCAAGUCGAGGGAGAAGCCCUUUCGGGGGCAGAAACCGGCGCACGGGUGCGUAACGCGUAUGCAACCUACCUUUCACAGGGGGAUAGCCCGAAGAAAUUUGGAUUAAUACCCCAUAAUAUUAUUGGAUGGCAUCAUUUGAUAAUUAAAACUGCGGUGGUGAAAGAUGGGCAUGCGUCCUAUUAGCUAGUUGGAGUGGUAACGGCACCCCAAGGCUACGAUAGGUAGGGGUCCUGAGAGGGAGAUCCCCCACACUGGUACUGAGACAGGGACCAGACUCCUACGGGAGGCAGCAGUGAGGAAUAUUGGGCAAUGGUCGGAAGACUGAACCAGCCAUGCCGCGUGCAGGAAGAAUGCCUUAUGGGUUGUAAACUGCUUUUAUAUGGGAAGAAUAAGGCGUACGUGUACGUUGAUGACGGUACCAUAUGAAUAAGCACCGGCUAACUCCGUG
Molecule: ribosomal RNA, 478 nt
Filed under: uncultured bacterium
Lineage: Bacteria
Description: partial 16S ribosomal RNA
Rfam family: Bacterial small subunit ribosomal RNA
Source: RNAcentral